AAGUGGAAAUUACACAAAAAGAUGUUCCAACUGCUGUCUUUGGAGGAUUGGCUAGGAAGAGGGAAGAGACCGAAAAAGCUGAGGGUGGAGAUGAUGCCGCAACUGCUAAGGAUGGUGCAGGCCAUCUUGGUGCCCUUGAGAGAAUAAAGAGGCUAAAACGUGCAUGAUUACCCUGAAAUUUGAAGUUGAGUUAUUCAAGUAGGGAUGAAAUUUUGACAGAUCAUAUAAUGUACCAACAGCUAUAGUUACACUUGAAGUAGCCCUUUGUAAUUUUUAUGAUAAUUCUUGAUUUGUACUGAACUAAGGACUUCGUAUAUUUUCCACCAUGCCCAUGUAUCUUUUGUUUAUAAAACUUUUAAGGUGAAAGAUAUAUCAAUUU
Molecule: unclassified non-coding RNA, 379 nt
Filed under: Hevea brasiliensis (rubber tree)
Lineage: Eukaryota; Viridiplantae; Streptophyta; Magnoliopsida; Malpighiales; Euphorbiaceae
Source: RNAcentral